AUAAAUCUUAAAACUUAAUUUUUUCUAUCACUUUAAAGAAUAUAUAACAAGUUAUAGUAUCAUUCUUAUACAUUAACUUCUACUGGAACUGCUACUGAAAUGUACACAUAAGUGCUCCUGCUUAUUUCCCCUGCUGUGACUUCUAUCCCCCAGAAACCCCCUUCUCAUGUACUGGCACCUGGAUCACUAGAAUUUCCCCCCCCGCCCCACCCAAAAAACAGCCCAAAGCUUGCAUUGUCAAUGAGGUAAUUCCCAAAGUUGCUAGAUCAGGCUUCCUCACUG
This 282-nucleotide long non-coding RNA is filed under the name Pan troglodytes (chimpanzee). RNAcentral describes it as "long non-coding RNA NONPTRT015837". Lineage: Eukaryota; Metazoa; Chordata; Mammalia; Primates; Hominidae. The record is from RNAcentral.